UACGGAGGGGGCUAGCGUUGUUCGGAAUUACUGGGCGUAAAGCGCACGUAGGCGGCUUUGUAAGUUAGAGGUGAAAGCCCAGGGCUUAACCCUGGAAUUGCCUUUAAGACUGCAUCGCUAGAAUCGUGGAGAGGUGAGUGGAAUUCCGAGUGUAGAGGUGAAAUUCGUAGAUAUUCGGAAGAACACCAGUGGCGAAGGCGACUUACUGGACACAUAUUGACGCUGAGGUGCGAAAGCGUGGGGAGCGAACAGG
RNAcentral lists this ribosomal RNA (253 nucleotides) under uncultured bacterium. Its description in RNAcentral is "partial 16S ribosomal RNA". It matches the Rfam family "Bacterial small subunit ribosomal RNA", at positions 524 to 776 of the family's 1533-position model. The record is from RNAcentral.